AUGAACGCUGGCGGCGUGCCUAAUACAUGCAAGUCGAGCGAACGGACGAGAAGCUUGCUUCUCUGAUGUUAGCGGCGGACGGGUGAGUAACACGUGGAUAACCUACCUAUAAGACUGGGAUAACUUCGGGAAACCGUAGCUAAUACCGGAUAAUAUUUUGAACCGCAUGGUUCAAAAGUGAAAGACGGUCUUGCUGUCACUUAUAGAUGGAUCCGCGCUGCAUUAGCUAGUUGGUAAGGUAACGGCUUACCAAGGCAACGAUGCAUAGCCGACCUGAGAGGGUGAUCGGCCAAACUGGAACUGAGACACGGUCCAGACUCCUACGGGAGGCAGCAGUAGGGAAUCUUCCGCAAUGGGCGAAAGCCUGACGGAGCAACGCCGCGUGAGUGAUGAAGGUCUUCGGAUCGUAAAACUCUGUUAUUAGGGAAGAACAUAUGUGUAAGUAACUGUGCACAUCUUGACGGUACCUAAUCAGAAAGCCACGGCUAACUACGUG
This 496-nucleotide ribosomal RNA is filed under the name uncultured bacterium. Its description in RNAcentral is "partial 16S ribosomal RNA". It matches the Rfam family "Bacterial small subunit ribosomal RNA", at positions 29 to 507 of the family's 1533-position model. The record is from RNAcentral.